Molecule: small RNA, 4222 nt
Filed under: Pongo abelii (Sumatran orangutan)
Lineage: Eukaryota; Metazoa; Chordata; Mammalia; Primates; Hominidae
Description: retained intron
Source: RNAcentral
GCCAUAAUGGAGACCUAUACUUCUCCAACGUGAUGCUGCAGGACAUGCAGACCGACUACAGUUGCAACGCCCGCUUCCAUUUCACCCACACCAUCCAGCAGAAGAACCCUUUCACCCUCAAGGUCCUCACCACCCGAGGAGUUGCAGAAAGAACACCAAGCUUCAUGUAUCCCCAGGGCACCGCGAGCAGCCAGAUGGUGCUUCGUGGCAUGGACCUCCUGCUGGAAUGCAUCGCCUCCGGGGUCCCAACACCAGACAUCGCAUGGUACAAGAAAGGUGGGGACCUCCCAUCUGAUAAGGCCAAGUUUGAGAACUUUAAUAAGGCCCUGCGUAUCACCAAUGUCUCUGAGGAAGACUCUGGGGAGUAUUUCUGCCUGGCCUCCAACAAGAUGGGCAGCAUCCGGCACACGAUCUCGGUGAGAGUAAAGGCUGCUCCCUACUGGCUGGACGAACCCAAGAACCUUAUCCUGGCUCCUGGCGAGGAUGGUAGACUGGUGUGUCGAGCCAAUGGAAACCCCAAACCCACUGUCCAGUGGAUGGUGAAUGGGGAACCUUUGCAAUCGGCACCACCUAACCCAAACCGUGAGGUGGCUGGAGACACCAUCAUCUUCCGGGACACCCAGAUCAGCAGCAGGGCCGUGUACCAGUGCAACACCUCCAACGAGCAUGGCUACCUGCUGGCCAACGCCUUCGUCAGUGUGCUGGAUGUGCCGCCUCGGAUGCUGUCGCCCCGGAACCAGCUCAUUCGAGUGAUUCUUUACAACCGGACGCGACUGGACUGUCCUUUCUUUGGGUCUCCCAUCCCCACACUGCGAUGGUUUAAGAAUGGGCAAGGAAGCAACCUGGAUGGUGGCAACUACCAUGUUUAUGAGAAUGGCAGUCUGGAAAUUAAGAUGAUCCGCAAAGAGGACCAAGGCAUCUACACCUGUGUCGCCACCAACAUCCUGGGCAAAGCUGAAAACCAAGUCCGCCUGGAGGUCAAAGACCCCACCAGGAUCUACCGGAUGCCUGAAGACCAGGUGGCCAAAAGGGGCACCACGGUGCAGCUGGAGUGUCGGGUGAAGCACGACCCCUCCCUGAAACUCACCGUCUCCUGGCUGAAGGAUGACGAGCCGCUCUAUAUUGGAAACAGGAUGAAGAAGGAAGAUGACUCCCUGACCAUCUUUGGUGUGGCAGAGCGGGACCAGGGCAGUUACACGUGUGUUGCCAGCACCGAGCUAGAUCAAGACCUGGCCAAGGCCUACCUCACCGUGCUAGGACGGCCAGACCGGCCCCGGGACCUGGAGCUGACCGACCUGGCCGAGAGGAGCGUGCGGCUGACCUGGAUCCCUGGGGAUGCUAACAACAGCCCCAUCACAGACUACGUCGUCCAGUUUGAAGAAGACCAGUUCCAACCUGGGGUCUGGCAUGACCAUUCCAAGUACCCCGGCAGCGUUAACUCAGCCGUCCUCCGGCUGUCCCCGUAUGUCAACUACCAGUUCCGUGUCAUUGCCAUCAACGAGGUUGGGAGCAGCCACCCCAGCCUCCCGUCCGAGCGCUACCGAACCAGUGGAGCACCCCCCGAGUCCAAUCCUGGUGACGUGAAGGGAGAGGGGACCAGAAAGAACAACAUGGAGAUCACGUGGACGCCCAUGAAUGCCACCUCGGCCUUUGGCCCCAACCUGCGCUACAUUGUCAAGUGGAGGCGGAGAGAGACUCGAGAGGCCUGGAACAACGUCACGGUGUGGGGCUCUCGCUACGUGGUGGGGCAGACCCCGGUCUACGUGCCCUAUGAGAUCCGAGUCCAGGCUGAAAAUGACUUCGGGAAGGGCCCUGAGCCAGAGUCCGUCAUCGGUUACUCCGGAGAAGAUUAUCCCAGGGCUGCGCCCACUGAAGUUAAAGUCCGAGUCAUGAACAGCACAGCCAUCAGCCUUCAGUGGAACCGCGUCUACUCCGACACGGUCCAGGGCCAGCUCAGAGAGUACCGAGCCUACUACUGGAGGGAGAGCAGCUUGCUGAAGAACCUGUGGGUGUCUCAGAAGAGACAGCAAGCCAGCUUCCCUGGUGACCGCCUCCGUGGCGUGGUGUCCCGCCUCUUCCCCUACAGUAACUACAAGCUGGAGAUGGUUGUGGUCAAUGGGAGAGGUGAUGGGCCUCGCAGUGAGACCAAGGAGUUCACCACCCCGGAAGGAGUACCCAGUGCCCCCAGGCGUUUCCGCGUCCGGCAGCCCAACCUGGAGACAAUCAACCUGGAGUGGGAUCAUCCGGAGCAUCCAAAUGGGAUCAUGAUUGGAUACACUCUCAAAUACGUGGCCUUUAACGGGACCAAAGUAGGAAAGCAGAUAGUGGAAAACUUCUCUCCCAAUCAGACCAAGUUCACGGUGCAAAGAACGGACCCUGUGUCACGCUACCGCUUUACCCUUAGCGCCAGGACACAGGUGGGCUCUGGGGAAGCCGUCACAGAGGAGUCACCAGCACCCCCGAAUGAAGGUAGGUGCAUGGCGGCAGCCCCUGGGGUAAAAGGUCCCAGCUAAUUCAGAGGCCUAGAGAAACACUGAGAUCUGUAGCUGGCUGCCUGGGAUGGAGAGGAAAUGAGACUUGCAAGUCCUCAAGCCCUCGGUAGGUGAGAACCCAUCUUACAUGUGAGAGGUAGGUGCUGGCAUUGUAUCUGGAGCUCAGCUCUCCUUGGACCACUGUGGUCACACCUGGGUCCCCACUUGCCCUGACUUGCUCAGUCACUUGACAUCUGUCAUCUUUCCUUCUUGUAGAGGAAUAAGGAAGAGAUCAUGAGUUGAGAAAUGAGAGAAAUCAUAAUGAAUCCAAAGAACAGUGAGUGUUCACCUCUUGAGGGAGGCAGGAAUAUGAUUGUGAGUGCCCCCAUGAGUGCUCUGGGGACAACCUUCUUUCUUCGAAGGCACAUGGGUUCAAGGAGGUAGGGGAAACCGUCAUGAUGACGCUGCUUACUGGCAUCAUGAGUAAAGCAGAGAAUGUGGUCCUUCCUUGCAGCCUGAAUUGGAUGUGUUGUCAGGCUGCAGAGAGGAGGAGGAGUUAGGAAACAGCCAUUUGCCAAGCCAGCUUCACAAAGAGCAAAUGAGUUCAUCUCCUGGGUCCAGGAGUCAUCUGGCAGCAUUUCAACCCCACCAGAGCUGCACCUGCCUGAGGACUCCACUAGAGGGGGCUCCAGGCUCUCCGGCACACACGCUGGCGGUGGGGGAAUGUGCAGUCUGGGACCUCUCAAGGAGGCAAGGCUGCAAAAGCCUCAAUACUGGCACACCCCCUGGGAAAGGCUGGGGACCCCCGUGUGUCUCCAGAGAGACAACGGUCUAUUCAACAGCCAUUUCUUUAGUACCCACACUGUGAGGUGCCAGACAUUGCCACACACAAGGGAUAUACAAAGGUAAUAAGCAGCUCACACCAUCUAGAGGGGGAGCCAUCUAUAAGAAUAUCUAAUUGCAUGUCUAAAUGAGGGCGCGCAGUGGCUGGGCAGAGGAGGGAAUUCAGUCUUCAUGGGAAGACUCCAGAGAAGAGGUGAUGUGAGUGGGCACCCUGGAAGCUGACAAGUCAUCGUGUCUGGUGCUUUCCACAGAAGGGUCAGGUCCCGCGGCCUGGCCCAGGCCCAGAUGGGGUCUCCUGAAUACCACCCCUACUCGCAUUCCAGGAGAGCAUCAGUGCUGCCUUCUCUGGGGCUACCAGGCCUGCUGCGUCACCCUGGGAUCCCAGGCAGCUUCACAAGUUGCCCAUAUCCUUCCCCAGCCCACCACUCUAGCCAGCAGACCAGUGCUGAGGCGGGAGAAGAGGGGCCAGGCAGAAGCAGAGAAAGGCUGACAGCCCACUCGGCAUCCCUCUCUGGUAUCAGAAACCAGGAGUGAGUCACACAACCAGCUCUCCCUCCUGCUGUGCUCUUCUGCACUCUCCCAAGCCCCUGCGCACUCGGGAAGUUUAUUAGGGCAGGGGGACUUAGGUUAGUGACUGAUAUGUGUCUGUUACCAAAGGCCAGGCCAGACCAUGAUGCACUUUCUUGAUUACUCAAUUCUGCAAGUAGAUAGAUAAAGAGAGCCCCUUCUUCCCUCCCUAUGUGCACCCCAAUACAGAACAUCAGAUAAACAAAGCCCUAUUGUCCAGCCCCAGUAACCACCACAGAGAAUGUUCUGCAGCCUCAGGGGACAAGAGGACAAAUAGAGGCUUUUUUCUUAACUUAAGGCUUUGCAGAAAAUUCAAGAAUUUCACUUAGGGCUCUCAAUCC